This 386-nucleotide ribosomal RNA is filed under the name Chlamydomonas sp. Its description in RNAcentral is "partial small subunit ribosomal RNA". It matches the Rfam family "Eukaryotic small subunit ribosomal RNA", at positions 582 to 975 of the family's 1831-position model. The record is from RNAcentral. Lineage: Eukaryota; Viridiplantae; Chlorophyta; Chlorophyceae; Chlamydomonadales; Chlamydomonadaceae.
AUUCCAGCUCCAAUAGCGUAUAUUUAAGUUGCUGCAGUUAAAAAGCUCGUAGUUGGAUUUCGGGCGGUUGACGACGGUCCGCCUCUGGUGUGCACUGCCGUUCUUCCGCCUUUCUGUCGGGGACGUGCUCCUAGGCUUCAUUGUCUGGGACACGGGUUCGACGUGGUUACUUUGAGUAAAUUAGAGUGUUCAAAGCAGGCAUCGCCUUGAAUAUAUUAGCAUGGAAUAGCACGAUAGGGCUCUGGCCUAUUUUGCUGGUCUGUAGGACCGGAGUAAUGAUUAAGAGGGACAGUCGGGGGCAUUCGUAUUUCAUUGUCAGAGGUGAAAUUCUUGGAUUUAUGAAAGACGAACUUCUGCGAAAGCAUUUGCCAAGGAUGUUUUCAUUA